GCAGAUAAAUUGUGUGAGUUUCUGAUAUUAAAGACAUGGUGAAAAGGAAGGGUACUUUGUUUUCUGUGGACCAAAUCAUUGUUAAUAGCCACAGCACCACUUUCAGUGAUACUGUUGAGUUUGCAUCCUACAACUACCUGAACAUCUCGUACCCAGCAGGCCAAGGAGCAACGCUGGAGUUCUUGCAGAGAUGCCUUUUCAAGAUAAACCCCAAGGGAUCGAAAGUUGAGAAGAGCACUUCAAGAAAGCAGAUGACGGUCAGUCCACAGCAUGUGUGUCAAACUCCGCUCCUGGGGGCCCACUGUCCUGCAAAGUGCUCCAGCCCGCUCCAGAAAACCUGCCUGGUAGUUUCUAGCAAUCCUGAAGACAUUGAUUAGCUGGUUCAGGUGUGUUUAAUUAGUUUCUGUAGGGCCACUGUCCUGCAGAGUUUAACUCCAUCCCUGAGUUUGACACCAUUGUUCAAAAGGUUCUUUCACUCUGAACUGAAACUGCAGACUAUGAAUAGAAGGCAUACAUGGAGAACAUUCUUCAGAAGGGAGUCCAAUCUCCCUCCAUUCAUUUGCACAGAAAUUGUAAUCAGUGUCACGCGGUCACUGCUUUGUUUAAUUGUUCGUCUUUUAAUGACUCCUUGUAAUUUAUCUGUUGACCAGUGGUCAGGUUUUAAAGGCAGACUGUUUAAUUAUUCUUCGACUUUUUUUUUCGUUUGUAAUAAAUUGUUGUAUUGUUAU
Molecule: long non-coding RNA, 728 nt
Organism: Ctenopharyngodon idella (grass carp)
Lineage: Eukaryota; Metazoa; Chordata; Actinopteri; Cypriniformes; Xenocyprididae
Exons: 3
Source: RefSeq, a predicted model, not a curated record